Molecule: unclassified non-coding RNA, 1057 nt
Filed under: Hevea brasiliensis (rubber tree)
Lineage: Eukaryota; Viridiplantae; Streptophyta; Magnoliopsida; Malpighiales; Euphorbiaceae
Source: RNAcentral
AGGACUUGGAUUUGAUCUCUAUGCUUAGUGAGCUACUCAUUUGUCGUCCUGUUAACUCUACUUUGUCACACAAGCACGCCCUUCAAGCUUGUAUUGAGCAUGCCAAGCUGUGGAUAACAAAGUCUGAUCAGCUCAUUGUGCCAGAAUCAGAUGCUACUUAUGCUGGUUUGAGAUCUAAGUUGAACAAGAUCAUGUCUUCGUUCUAUUUUACAACGGAACCUGUUUUUAGAGUGGAACAGACUGUUGCUGAGUAUGAGUCUUAUCAGGUGCCAGUAGAAGAGACGGUUUUGCCGGUCAAUGCAACUGGGCAGGUGGAGAGUUCAGUUGAGCGCUAUCAUGAGAAGGGUGGAGAACAUGUAAAUUCUCAAGCUGAUAAAUCUAGCGAAAUUCACGAUAGCUCUGCAAAAGAUAUCAACCAGGAGAACUUGUCCGAGCAACAUGCUGCACCAGAAGAAGUUGGACAUGAGGGAGAAGGUGUUGAGGAUCCGAAGGAUGCAAAUAUUGAUAAUCAACAAUCGAAUCCCCGGAGGUCCCAUCAGCAUUUCAGGGGUAAUCGAGGUGGUGGAGGCCGUCGUGGAUACAACAAUGGCCGUGGAGGCCGUGGUAGAGGACGGUCUUACCAUGAUGACCACAACCCAUACUAUGAUCAACCUGGUAAUUAUUACCCCAGGAAUUAUCCUAAUUAUCGGGGAAGGGGUGGUAGGGGUAGCCGUGGUGGUGGGAAUUAUAGCUACUAUGCUUCAGGUGAUCAAGCUGGAAAUGUCCCCGCCUUUUCAUGAUUGUUUAGGUGAAGCAGCAUAUGCUAUACCUUUUUUGUUGGAAGCUGAUAACGCUAUUUCCCCGUUAACCUGAAGCACUAAAUGUGUCAAAACUGUUUUGCUUGUGUUAAGUCCUCUACCAGAAUAGCAUUAAAAAGGGUCAAGUGUAGUGUCUUCUUUUGAACUUGACAACUUGUUAGAUCAAUUUUGAGUCUCCAUUACUAGUUUUAUCUCAAGUGAAAUUGUAUGAUAAUGUCUGCUGUAUUCUGAGUGACUAAAAGUUGCCUGCUGUUAUAUAU